ACGCGCUCUCUCGCUCUCUCUCUCUCCUCCAAAACACAGCUCUGUCCUUCCCUCUUCCCCCCUUCACUUCCCAGAGGGAACCUGCCCAUCCCAGAAGCUCUGUGCUGUGGACAGCAGGAAGGACGGGCUGAGGGAGGAAGGGCGACUCCCAUACCUCACUGGCCACCAGAGAAGACUGUGACAGGGUCCAAGAUGACCCCAGUGACCAUCCUAUGCUGCUGUCCCCACGCUGGUUGCUAGAAACCAACAGGGUCACCAAGAGAACAAUUUGUCUGAGAUUCCCCAAGUUCUACAAGGCCAAACUGAGCUCCCUCUGAGCUCCAGAAGCAGAGGACGUUGGGAUGGAUGCCUGCUGCCUCACGUAAACGGAAGGGUGAGCUGAGGACAGCAGGGAAGGUGCCCACUCAGGCUGGGGCACCCAGGACUACCCCCAGGAGCCUGCUGCGCCUUCACAGCCUACGCGGCUUGGGAGAUGGCACUGGUGCUGGGGCUUGGGCGGGGGGCGGGGGGCGCUCCCUGUGAGGUCUGCAUUGCUGCAGCUCUGGAUGUGUUCCAUUCCCUGGGUGGCUCCUGAGUCCUCACACGGCCCUGUGAGAGAGAGUCUGGAGCCCCGCUUUACCGGUAAGGAAAUGCGACCUGUUCUCACGGCCCUCUGCAGGUCUGAGGGCUCUAAGGUCUAAGGCUCUAAGUGGGCUUGAGAAGUCCUGAGCACCAGGCCCCAAGCCACAGGCAGCCCGGCCCUGAUGCCACCACACUUGAGAGGCAGCAGGGAACCAGAAUCAAAGCAUCUAGCUUGGACCUGACCUAGAAAAGCCAUGCCCUGCCCCUGGGCUGGUGAAACCAAACUGCCUGGGGAAGGUUCCCCAUAUCGAUCCUCAGGCAAGACUUGGGUAUCUGUGUGGUUUGGGGUCAUGGCUGCUGUGUCCCACUCCCAUUCCACCAAGGAAACAGGUCCUGUCCCCAGCCACUCCUCCGGAGGAUGAAAGGGCCAGGCCUCUGACCCCUCUUCGUGUCCUGGCACCGGCAUAGGGACAGCUUCCUGUCUGCAGGGACGGUGGCAGAGGGAGGUGCCCCUCCAGGUGGCUGAUAUGGCCUGGCCAUCCCUGGGCGGCCUCUAUCGCUGCCGCCUGCCUCCGCACACCAUCUGGUCUGUGAUCAAAGGGGCCGCAGGCAGGAGCUGCCCACGGGCCUGGGCAAGCGUCCCUUAUCUCUCCAGGCUCGGGAACUUUCCAGACUCAGGGCACCGGGAGCCCAGUGGGGCGGGAAGGGCAGGCCAGAGGGCGUGGGAACAGACAGGGAUUCCGGGCAGUGGUGGGAGGGAUUGAAACUCAAGGCCUGAGACUGCACACAGGCGGGAGUCCUCAUGGUCCUCUAUCUCCACUCCCACCUUACGCAGACCAAGCCCCAGCUGGCUGUGUGACCUGGGGUGCAGCGCUCCACUUCUCUGAGCCUCGGUCUCCUCUUCUGCCAAGUGUGAACCACGGCAACAGUUGUGAGGACACCAGUCAGCAAGGAUCACAGGAUAUUGGCAGGAUCUUGCUAAGCUACCCAGGCUGGGCUCGAACUUGCGAUCCUCCUGACUCAGCCUCCCAAAGGGCUGGGAUUAUAGAAGUGCUCUACCACAGCCAACCCUGUCAUCUGCAUUUGGAGUUCCCCCAAAUAGCAUGACUUGGUCAUGAGUCUGACCUGCGAUGGAACACCGGCCCUUGGAGGACAGUCUGUGCUCGCGCAUUCCUAACGAGGACCUUAGCAGAGGAGGUGGUGGGCUAAGCACAGGCGGGGCUGGCUGAACAAGUGAGGAGCUGCUCAGUUCCUGUUUUGGAGAUUUCACAGAGCCCAAGACCAGAAUCAAGUCCUGUGUUUUCCCACAACCUCUCCAGAUAAACAAUCCCAGUUCCUUCUGGGCUUCCUUUUGCAGCUGAUAGGACCCCGAGCUCCCAGAACAGAAUGAGCUGGUGAGCAAACACAUUAGCUAAAACCCUAAGCAGGGCUGUGCUGGAGCAGUGAAGUAAAGGGACGAAGAGAUGCAUCAGUGAGUGGAUGGAUGGGAAGAGGUUGUGAGGAAGGGGGACGGGGAGAGAAGGGGAGGAAAGAGGGCCAGAGAGAGAGUGGGAAGGGGGAAGAGAGAAGAGAGAGGGAGCGAGAGGGAGGGGAAAGGAAAGAGCCACCCUAUAUCCAGGUGGAGGGGCACCAGCAGCAAAAUCAAGUACAGAAAGCAGGUCAGUGCCCUCCUGCCCACAAGCUUCCGGGAGAGUCCCCAGCCCUCCGCAAGCCCCAGACCACAGGCUCUAUAAGGUUGGCAGACUGUGGCUCACGAACCAAACUUGACCCACUGCUUGUCUGUUUGAAUAAAGUUUUGUUGAAACACA
Long non-coding RNA from Chinchilla lanigera (long-tailed chinchilla), 2369 nucleotides. RefSeq lists it as uncharacterized. The record is from RefSeq and is a predicted model, not a curated record. The transcript is spliced from 3 exons. NCBI's taxonomy places the organism in Eukaryota, Metazoa, Chordata, Mammalia, Rodentia, Chinchillidae.